GUUCCAUGUAACCCGGGUGGCUCAAACCUUGGAGGAGGAGGUGGAGCCCAGCUGGCUCCCCCCACCAAACCUCAACCCAGAACCUCCUUGAAGGAGAAGGCUAGGGGUGUGGGCUUGCUGGGUACCUUGAGGAUCGGUUAACAUCUACAUUUCGUGACAGGGAAACCACGGUCUGGGCGCUUGGUCAUUCAUUUCCCUGUCACUGUAGCUAAGUUCAGGACUCAGCUCUGCCAACCAACCUGCUCUGUGAUUUUGGGAUGAAAGGGGAAAUGGAAGUGGCUCGAAGUGUGAAAUGGGGAAUGAAGCAUGUGCGCGGAUCACACUCGGCAGGUCCCAGACAAGGGGACCAGCUUGGAACAUACAGAGAAGAUGCUGAACCAAGAGAGGAGCUGCUUUUAUUCCCAUUUUUCAGAUGGGUAAACUGACACCCAAAGAGAAAUUCAUAGCCAGGUGCCCAAGAUCCAUCAACUCAGAACUGGAAUUACAACCAAAACCAACUCUAGGGAA
This is a long non-coding RNA of Talpa occidentalis (Iberian mole), 507 nucleotides long. RefSeq lists it as uncharacterized. The transcript is spliced from 4 exons. The record is from RefSeq and is a predicted model, not a curated record. NCBI's taxonomy places the organism in Eukaryota, Metazoa, Chordata, Mammalia, Eulipotyphla, Talpidae.